AGUGAACGCUGGCGGUAGGCCUAACACAUGCAAGUCGAACGGCAGCACAGGAGAGCUUGCUCUCUGGGUGGCGAGUGGCGGACGGGUGAGGAAUACAUCGGAAUCUACUCUGUCGUGGGGGAUAACGUAGGGAAACUUACGCUAAUACCGCAUACGACCUACGGGUGAAAGCAGGGGACCUUCGGGCCUUGCGCGAUUGAAUGAGCCGAUGUCGGAUUAGCGAGUUGGCGGGGUAAAGGCCCACCAAGGCGACGAUCCGUAGCUGGUCUGAGAGGAUGAUCAGCCACACUGGAACUGAGACACGGUCCAGACUCCUACGGGAGGCAGCAGUGGGGAAUAUUGGACAAUGGGCGCAAGCCUGAUCCAGCCAUACCGCGUGGGUGAAGAAGGCCUUCGGGUUGUAAGGCCCUUUUGUUGGGAAAGAAAUCCAGCUGGCUAAUACCCGGUAGGGAUGACGGUACCCAAAGAAUAAGCACCGGCUAACUUCGUGCCAGCCGCCGCAGUAA
RNAcentral lists this ribosomal RNA (506 nucleotides) under uncultured bacterium. RNAcentral's name for it is "partial 16S ribosomal RNA". It matches the Rfam family "Bacterial small subunit ribosomal RNA", at positions 29 to 523 of the family's 1533-position model. The record is from RNAcentral.